AUUGAACGCUGGCGGCAUGCCUUACACAUGCAAGUCGAACGGUAACAGGUCUUCGGAUGCUGACGAGUGGCGAACGGGUGAGUAAUACAUCGGAACGUGCCCAGACGUGGGGGAUAACGAGGCGAAAGCUUUGCUAAUACCGCAUACGAUCUAAGGAUGAAAGCAGGGGACCGCAAGGCCUUGUGCGUUUGGAGCGGCCGAUGGCAGAUUAGGUAGUUGGUGGGAUAAAAGCUUACCAAGCCGACGAUCUGUAGCUGGUCUGAGAGGACGACCAGCCACACUGGGACUGAGACACGGCCCAGACUCCUACGGGAGGCAGCAGUGGGGAAUUUUGGACAAUGGGCGAAAGCCUGAUCCAGCAAUGCCGCGUGCAGGAUGAAGGCCUUCGGGUUGUAAACUGCCUUUGUACGGAACGAAAAGGCUCUGGCUAAUACCUGGGGCACAUGACGGUACCGUAAGAAUAAGCACCGGCUAACUACGUG
Molecule: ribosomal RNA, 482 nt
Filed under: uncultured bacterium
Lineage: Bacteria
Description: partial 16S ribosomal RNA
Rfam family: Bacterial small subunit ribosomal RNA
Source: RNAcentral